AGUGAACGCUGGCGGUAGACCUAACACAUGCAAGUCGAACGGCAGCACAGUAAGAGCUUGCUCUUACGGGUGGCGAGUGGCGGACGGGUGAGGAAUACAUCGGAAUCUACUUUUUCGUGGGGGAUAACGUAGGGAAACUUACGCUAAUACCGCAUACGACCUACGGGUGAAAGCAGGGGAUCUUCGGACCUUGCGCGAUUGAAUGAGCCGAUGUCGGAUUAGCUAGUUGGCGGGGUAAAGGCCCACCAAGGCGACGAUCCGUAGCUGGUCUGAGAGGAUGAUCAGCCACACUGGAACUGAGACACGGUCCAGACUCCUACGGGAGGCAGCAGUGGGGAAUAUUGGACAAUGGGCGCAAGCCUGAUCCAGCCAUACCGCGUGGGUGAAGAAGGCCUUCGGGUGGUAAAGCCCUUUUGUUGGGGAAGAAAAGCAGCAGGUUAAUACCCCGCUGUUCUGACGGUACCCAAAGAAUAAGCACCGGCUAACUUCGU
Molecule: ribosomal RNA, 491 nt
Filed under: uncultured bacterium
Lineage: Bacteria
Description: partial 16S ribosomal RNA
Rfam family: Bacterial small subunit ribosomal RNA
Source: RNAcentral